Molecule: ribosomal RNA, 636 nt
Filed under: Lacticaseibacillus paracasei subsp. paracasei
Lineage: Bacteria; Bacillati; Bacillota; Bacilli; Lactobacillales; Lactobacillaceae
Description: bacterial SSU rRNA
Rfam family: Bacterial small subunit ribosomal RNA
Source: RNAcentral
GCAGUCGAACGAGUUCUCGUUGAUGAUCGGUGCUUGCACCGAGAUUCAACAUGGAACGAGUGGCGGACGGGUGAGUAACACGUGGGUAACCUGCCCUUAAGUGGGGGAUAACAUUUGGAAACAGAUGCUAAUACCGCAUAGAUCCAAGAACCGCAUGGUUCUUGGCUGAAAGAUGGCGUAAGCUAUCGCUUUUGGAUGGACCCGCGGCGUAUUAGCUAGUUGGUGAGGUAAUGGCUCACCAAGGCGAUGAUACGUAGCCGAACUGAGAGGUUGAUCGGCCACAUUGGGACUGAGACACGGCCCAAACUCCUACGGGAGGCAGCAGUAGGGAAUCUUCCACAAUGGACGCAAGUCUGAUGGAGCAACGCCGCGUGAGUGAAGAAGGCUUUCGGGUCGUAAAACUCUGUUGUUGGAGAAGAAUGGUCGGCAGAGUAACUGUUGUCGGCGUGACGGUAUCCAACCAGAAAGCCACGGCUAACUACGUGCCAGCAGCCGCGGUAAUACGUAGGUGGCAAGCGUUAUCCGGAUUUAUUGGGCGUAAAGCGAGCGCAGGCGGUUUUUUAAGUCUGAUGUGAAAGCCCUCGGCUUAACCGAGGAAGCGCAUCGGAAACUGGGAAACUUGAGUGCAGAAGAGGA